Molecule: ribosomal RNA, 292 nt
Filed under: Staphylococcus aureus
Lineage: Bacteria; Bacillati; Bacillota; Bacilli; Caryophanales; Staphylococcaceae
Description: partial 23S ribosomal RNA
Rfam family: Bacterial large subunit ribosomal RNA
Source: RNAcentral
AAGACAUUGUGUCUUCGAGUCGUUGAUUUCACACUGCCGAGAAAAGCCUCUAGAUAGAAAAUAGGUGCCCGUACCGCAAACCGACACAGGUAGUCAAGAUGAGAAUUCUAAGGUGAGCGAGCGAACUCUCGUUAAGGAACUCGGCAAAAUGACCCCGUAACUUCGGGAGAAGGGGUGCUCUUUAGGGUUAACGCCCAGAAGAGCCGCAGUGAAUAGGCCCAAGCGACUGUUUAUCAAAAACACAGGUCUCUGCUAAACCGUAAGGUGAUGUAUAGGGGCUGACGCCUGCCCG